UGUUUUUCCGAUCCUUUUGUUGCACACGGUUUUAAUUUCCUGUCUCCCACGUUUUAGUUCUUUACCCUUCCCCACCUUCUCUAUUCUACGGUUUCCUAUGGUUUCACAUUUAAUCAUCGCCAGCCUCUCUCCCUUCUAACGGCAACCUCUCUGUUUUCCUUCCUUCCUGUCUUCCUCUCCUUACAAUAUAUAAAUACUGAUAGCAGCUAGACGAUUCAGUUGAGUAUAGGGAUUUUGGAGUAUUCAUGCUUCUGAGGCUGCGCAAGUUGAUGAUGAAGAUACAGCAAUGAUGAACAUUAUCAGGAAUCAACUGUGCUGAUAUAACAAAUUAGCUUUGGCGUCAUUGGCUCCAUCUGAUGAAUCAGUACCUAGCAGCUCUAGAAAGAAGAAGUCCAAGUGAUCACUGCCAUGUUCAUGCAAAAUACACCAUUGUUUCUACCAGAAAGGUGCUUUUGGAAGGAGAGAAAUGCUAAGAAACAAAGUCUGCAACAACAUUGAAACAGAUGAAAAAUUUUCCUAUUCUCAGGCAAAUCAUGGUCCUCACGGAAGCUUCAAAGUCUAAGAAAGGCAAAUGGAUUGGUGUUUCAUUUUAGUGUAAGAAUUUGAAAAAGUUCCAAUAUGUUCAUGGGCUGUCAAAGUUGAAAAGUGCAUAGGAAGAUUACUGCUAUAUUGUUAUCUUUGAGGGUUCUCCCUAUCAAAGUCAUGAGAUAAUUUGUAGAACAAGCUUCUUUAUUUUUUAUUCUAUAUAUAUAUAUAUAUAUAUAUUU
Molecule: long non-coding RNA, 767 nt
Organism: Quercus robur (English oak)
Lineage: Eukaryota; Viridiplantae; Streptophyta; Magnoliopsida; Fagales; Fagaceae
Exons: 4
Source: RefSeq, a predicted model, not a curated record